AUACGGAGGGUGCAAGCGUUAUCCGGAUUUAUUGGGUUUAAAGGGUGCGUAGGCGGUUUGAUAAGUCAGCGGUGAAAUAUUUCAGCUUAACUGGAAGGGUGCCGUUGAUACUGUCGAGCUUGAAUUUAGUUGCUGUGGGUGGAAUGUGUGGUGUAGCGGUGAAAUGCAUAGAUAUCACACAGAAUAUCGAUUGCGAAGGCAGCUCACAAAGCUAAUAUUGACGCUGAUGCACGAAAGUGUGGGGAUCAAACAGGAUUAGAUACCCUGGUAGUCCACACUGUAAACGAUGAUAACUCGCUGUCGGCGAUACAUAGUCGGUGGCCAAGCGAAAGCGAUAAGUUAUCCACCUGGGGAGUACGACCGCAAGGUUGAAACUCAAAGGAAUUGACGGGG
This 393-nucleotide ribosomal RNA is filed under the name uncultured bacterium. RNAcentral describes it as "partial 16S ribosomal RNA". It matches the Rfam family "Bacterial small subunit ribosomal RNA", at positions 523 to 918 of the family's 1533-position model. The record is from RNAcentral.